UAGGGAAUUUUCGGCAAUGGGCGCAAGCCUGACCGAGCAACGCCGCGUGAGGGAAGAAGGUCUUCGGAUCGUAAACCUUUGUCUUUGGGGAAGAUGAUGACGGUACCCAAGGAGGAAGCCACGGCUAACUACGUGCCAGCAGCCGCGGUAAUACGUAGGUGGCAAGCGUUGUCCGGAAUUACUGGGCGUAAAGGGCGUGUAGGCGGCCUUUUAAGUCAGGCGUGAAAACUGUGGGCUUAACCCACAGACUGCGUUUGAGACUGAGAGGCUUGAGGAUCGGAGAGGGCAGUGGAAUUCCCAGUGUAGCGGUGAAAUGCGUAGAUAUUGGGAAGAACACCAGUGGCGAAGGCGGCUGCCUGGACGACACCUGACGCUGAGGCGCGAAAGCCAGGGGAGCAAACGGGAUUAGAUACCCCGGUAGUCCUGGCUGUAAACGAUGGGUACUAGGUGUGGGAGGUAUCGACCCCUUCCGUGCCGGAGUUAACACAAUAAGUACCCCGCCU
Molecule: ribosomal RNA, 503 nt
Filed under: uncultured Bacillota bacterium
Lineage: Bacteria; Bacillati; Bacillota
Description: bacterial SSU rRNA
Rfam family: Bacterial small subunit ribosomal RNA
Source: RNAcentral